AAGGCGCCUUUAUUUCGAAUAGGACAAAACAGGUUUACGCCUGAUCGUCGUGAAGAAAUUAUCUGUGCUUAUCAUUUUUUAAAAGAAGCCUCGAAAUUAUUUCCGCCCUAUCAGCUUUCGCCGGUAACGUAGUGGUUUACCGUGGCAGUGACGGGUAACGGGGAAUUAGGGUUUGACUCCGGAGAGGGAGCCUGAGAAACGGCUACCACAUCUAUGGAAGGCAGCAGGGGCGCGAAUUACCCAAUCCUAUACUAGGGAGGUAGUGACAAGAAAUAACAACACAGAUAUUAUUUAUUUAUGAUUGGAAUGAGAGGAGUUUAACACAUUCCUCGAGGAUCCAUUGGAGGGCAAGUCUGGUGCCAGCAGCCGCGGUAAUUCCAGCUCCAACAGCGUAUAUUAAAGUUGCUGCAGUUAAAACGCUCGUAGUUGUUGUCCAACUAUACGCUACACUCAAUUGCGAGAGUAGUACAAUAGUUUAGCAGAAAUUUUAUUUCUGCCAAGACCUUGAGGAAAGAUUAGUGUUCCAAGCAAUCAACUUUUGUCCUCCCCAGCAUGGUAUAAAACCCAACCGAAGAA
RNAcentral lists this ribosomal RNA (576 nucleotides) under uncultured eukaryote. RNAcentral describes it as "bacterial SSU rRNA". It matches the Rfam family "Eukaryotic small subunit ribosomal RNA", at positions 198 to 832 of the family's 1831-position model. The record is from RNAcentral.